RNAcentral lists this ribosomal RNA (465 nucleotides) under uncultured bacterium. RNAcentral describes it as "partial 16S ribosomal RNA". It matches the Rfam family "Bacterial small subunit ribosomal RNA", at positions 338 to 795 of the family's 1533-position model. The record is from RNAcentral.
CCUACGGGAGGCAGCAGUAGGGAAUCUUCCACAAUGGGCGAAAGCCUGAUGGAGCAACGCCGCGUGGGUGAAGAAGGUCUUCGGAUCGUAAAACCCUGUUGUUAGAGAAGAAAGUGCGUGAGAGUAACUGUUCACGUUUCGACGGUAUCUAACCAGAAAGCCUCGGCUAACGACGUGAAAGCAGCCGGGGUAAUACGUAGGUGGAAAACGUUAUCCGGAUUUAUUGGGCGUAAAGGGAACGCAGGCGGUCUUUUAAGUCUGAUGUGAAAGCCUUCGGCUUAACCGGAGUAGUGCAUUGGAAACGGGGGGACUUGAGUGCAGAAGAGGAGAGUGGAACUCGAUGUGUAGCGGUGAAAUGCGUAGAUAUAUGGAAGAACACCAGUGGCGAAGGCGGCUCUCUGGUCUGUAACUGACGCUGAGGUUCGAAAGCGUGGGUAGCAAACAGGAUUAGAUACCCUUGUAGUC